Long non-coding RNA from Protopterus annectens (West African lungfish), 291 nucleotides. RefSeq lists it as uncharacterized. NCBI's taxonomy places the organism in Eukaryota, Metazoa, Chordata, Ceratodontiformes, Protopteridae. The transcript is spliced from 3 exons. The record is from RefSeq and is a predicted model, not a curated record.
CAUGUUUUUUUUAAUUACAGACAGUAUGCCUGUUACUGCUAGCAUGUAAGAAGGUUAUAUUGAAGAUCGAUGCUGUCAUUUGAAUAGAUUGUACUUCCAUACCAGCUGCAGUGAGAUGCCAUCUCAGGACUGAGGACAUGAGAUAAUAUAAGGUAAUGGCCUUUGACAUGCUGUAGUAGGGCUCUACCCCAUAACAGUUAACCCACUCAUUCAAUUGCUUCCUUGAAAGGCAGCAGCCACCACUGCAUGAAGAAUACCUACAAUGCAUUUCAGCCCAGGCAUUAAUAGGUA